UGGCGGACGGGUGAGAAUCGCGUGGGAACGUGCCCUUCUCUACGGAAUAGUCCUGGGAAACUGGGGGUAAUACCGUAUACGCCCUUUGGGGGAAAGAUUUAUCGGAGAAGGAUCGGCCCGCGUUGGACUAGGUAGUUGGUGGGGUAAUGGCUCACCAAGCCGACGAUCCAUAGCUGGUUUGAGAGGAUGAUCAGCCACACUGGGACUGAGACACGGCCCAGACUCCUACGGGAGGCAGCAGUGGGGAAUCUUAGACAAUGGGGGCAACCCUGAUCUAGCCAUGCCGCGUGAGUGAUGAAGGCCUUAGGGUUGUAAAGCUCUUUCAGCUGUGAAGAUAAUGACGGUAGCAGCAGAAGAAGUCCCGGCUAACUCCGUGCCAGCAGCCGCGGUAAUA
RNAcentral lists this ribosomal RNA (394 nucleotides) under uncultured Paracoccus sp. Its description in RNAcentral is "bacterial SSU rRNA". It matches the Rfam family "Bacterial small subunit ribosomal RNA", at positions 96 to 525 of the family's 1533-position model. The record is from RNAcentral. Lineage: Bacteria; Pseudomonadati; Pseudomonadota; Alphaproteobacteria; Rhodobacterales; Paracoccaceae.